UACGUAGGUCCCGAGCGUUGUCCGGAUUUAUUGGGCGUAAAGCGCGCGCAGGUGGUUUCUUAAGUCUGAUGUAAAAGGCAGUGGCUCAACCAUUGUGUGCAUUGGAAACUGUUAGACUUGAGUGCAGUAGAGGAGAGUGGAAUUCCAUGUGUAGCGGUGAAAUGCGUAGAUAUAUGGAGGAACACCGGUGGCGAAAGCGGCUCUCUGGACUGUAACUGACACUGAGGCUCGAAAGCGUGGGUAGCAAACAGG
RNAcentral lists this ribosomal RNA (252 nucleotides) under uncultured microorganism. RNAcentral's name for it is "partial 16S ribosomal RNA". It matches the Rfam family "Bacterial small subunit ribosomal RNA", at positions 524 to 776 of the family's 1533-position model. The record is from RNAcentral.